Molecule: ribosomal RNA, 253 nt
Filed under: uncultured bacterium
Lineage: Bacteria
Description: partial 16S ribosomal RNA
Rfam family: Bacterial small subunit ribosomal RNA
Source: RNAcentral
UACGGAGGAUGCAAGCGUUAUCCGGACUGAUUGGGCGUAAAGCGUCCGCAGGUGGCUGUGUAAGUCUGCUGUUAAAGAGUGAGGCUCAACCUCAUAAAGGCAGUGGAAACUACAUGGCUAGAGUGCGUUCGGGGCAGAGGGAAUUCCUGGUGUAGCGGUGAAAUGCGUAGAUAUCAGGAAGAACACCGGUGGCGAAAGCGGCUCUCUGGGACGGUACUGACGCUGAGACGCGAAAGCGUGGGGAGCGAACAGG